GACGAACGCUGGCGGCGUGCUUAACACAUGCCAGUCGAACGGAAAGGCCCUGCUUUUGUGGGGUGCUCGAGUGGCGAACGGGUGAGUAACACGUGAGUAACCUGCCCUUGACUUUGGGAUAACUUCAGAAAACUGGGGCUAAUACCGGAUAGGAGCUCUUGCUGCAGGGUGGGGGUUGGAAAGUUUCGGCGGUUGGGGAUGGACUCGCGGCUUAUCAGCUUGUUGGUGGGGUAGUGGCUUACCAAGGCUUUGACGGGUAGCCGGCCUGAGAGGGUGACCGGCCACAUUGGGACUGAGAUACGGCCCAGACUCCUACGGGAGGCAGCAGUGGGGAAUAUUGCACAAUGGGCGGAAGCCUGAUGCAGCAACGCCGCGUGCGGGAUGACGGCCUUCGGGUUGUAAACCGCUUUCGCCUGUGACGAAGCGUGAGUGACGGUAAUGGGUAAAGAAGCACCGGCUAACUACGUG
Molecule: ribosomal RNA, 468 nt
Filed under: uncultured bacterium
Lineage: Bacteria
Description: partial 16S ribosomal RNA
Rfam family: Bacterial small subunit ribosomal RNA
Source: RNAcentral